RNAcentral lists this ribosomal RNA (395 nucleotides) under uncultured bacterium. RNAcentral describes it as "partial 16S ribosomal RNA". It matches the Rfam family "Bacterial small subunit ribosomal RNA", at positions 523 to 918 of the family's 1533-position model. The record is from RNAcentral.
AUACGUAGGGUGCAAGCGUUAAUCGGAAUUACUGGGCGUAAAGCGUGCGCAGGCGGUUUUGUAAGACAGUGGUGAAAUCCCCGGGCUCAACCUGGGAACUGCCAUUGUGACUGCAAGGCUGGAGUGCGGCAGAGGGGGAUGGAAUUCCGCGUGUAGCAGUGAAAUGCGUAGAUAUGCGGAGGAACACCGAUGGCGAAGGCAAUCCCCUGGGCCUGCACUGACGCUCAUGCACGAAAGCGUGGGGAGCAAACAGGAUUAGAUACCCUGGUAGUCCACGCCCUAAACGAUGUCAACUGGUUGUUGGGGAUUUAUUUUCUCAGUAACGAAGCUAACGCGUGAAGUUGACCGCCUGGGGAGUACAGCCGCAAGGUUAAAACUCAAAUGAAUUGACGGGG